UGUUAAAAAAAUUUAUCCAUUUGUAUUAUUAAAAAUUGGUGUAGUUGACGGAAUAACAUAAUGACAUAUAACAUGCCACGUCUGCUUCAUGCCAGCGUACUGGGAGCAAAUUUUAAAAACAUAAAUGGAUAAAAUUUUUUACA
This is a non-coding RNA of Gossypium raimondii (Peruvian cotton), 143 nucleotides long. The record is from Rfam. NCBI's taxonomy places the organism in Eukaryota, Viridiplantae, Streptophyta, Magnoliopsida, Malvales, Malvaceae.